UGGAAGUGGACAGAGUAAAGGGCUGCCUGA
Molecule: non-coding RNA, 30 nt
Filed under: Mus musculus (house mouse)
Lineage: Eukaryota; Metazoa; Chordata; Mammalia; Rodentia; Muridae
Source: RNAcentral